UUCCGGUUGAUCCUGCCGGAGACUACCGCUAUCGGAGUCCGAUUUAGCCAUGCUAGUCCACCGAACCUUUGUUUCGGGGCGGAAAGCUGAGUAACACGUGGCCAACCUACCCUGUGGACAGGAAUAACCUCGGGAAACUGAGGAUAAUGCCUGAUAGCAGAACCAUGCUGGAAACGCAGGUUCUGUGAAAUGACACGUCGCCACAGGAUGGGGCCGCGGCUGAUUAGGUUGUCGGUGAGGUAACGGCUCACCGAGCCCGUAAUCAGUAGCAGCCGUGGGAGCGGUAGCUGCCAGUCGUGUUCUGAGACAAAAACACGGGCCCUACGGGGCGCAGCAGGCACGAAACCUUUACAAUGCACGCGAGUGCGAU
Molecule: ribosomal RNA, 370 nt
Filed under: uncultured archaeon
Lineage: Archaea
Description: bacterial SSU rRNA
Rfam family: Archaeal small subunit ribosomal RNA
Source: RNAcentral